ACGGAGGGUGCAAGCAUUAAUCGGAAUUAUUGGGCGUAAAGGGCGCGUAGGCGGGGAUAUCAGUCAAACGUGAAAUCUAAGGGCUUAACCUUUGGACUGCGUUUGAAACUAUAUUUCUUGAGGGUAAGUGGGGAGAAUGGAAUUCCACAAGUAGCGGUGGAAUGCGUAGAUAUGUGGAGGAACACCUGUGGCGAAGGCGGUUCUCUAACUUAUUCCUGACGCUGAGGCGCGAAAGCAAGGGGAGCAAACAG
Molecule: ribosomal RNA, 251 nt
Filed under: uncultured prokaryote
Description: partial 16S rRNA
Rfam family: Bacterial small subunit ribosomal RNA
Source: RNAcentral